UGUUCUUCUUUUCAGCUCUUCAUUCAACGUCCAACAGACAGUAAGUGCAAUAACUCCCUGCAGCUAUUAUGACAUUCUGUGUGAUCUGGCUCCAGUACCUGCUGAUAAGGCUGUCCGAGACUAUUGGCUAGUCUUGAACAUAUAUAAAUGGGAGCAGCUGCUGCAGAUGAGUGCUCCCCCGACUCCUCCCUGAUGUCCUCUGAUAGGCUUCUGGACUGCCUUGUGUCUGGUGCAGGCUGCGCAUCUAAUUGGCUCCCUUCUGUUACUAUGGAGCUGCGUCCUCUCCCGGCUAUGGCUUCCGCUCCCGGGGCUUACAACAGCUCAGCUGGAGCCUCUCUGGCCAUCUCUCCAGACCGCUCAGCUCCUUUCUGCUGCCUUCACUGCAAUGCCGCACGCUGGCACACCCGGAGCCCUCCUGGCCGCUCUCCUCUGUCUGCCAGCAGCACCUCUACCUCCUCCUCCACCGCCCCCCUUCGGGAACGGGUAAUAGAUGCUGCCUAUGAUAUGUCAGUAUCCUGUUUUCUCCUGACUCAGGCUUGAUCUUGUAUACAGCUCUUCAUUCAACGUCCAACAGACAGUAAGUGCAAUAACUCCCUGCAGCUAUUAUGACAUUCUGUGUGAUCUGGCUCCAGUACCUGCUGAUAAGGCUGUCCGAGACUAUUGGCUAGUCUUGAACAUAUAUAAAUGGGAGGUAAAUAAGUUCUUCUCUCCCUCUAUAAUGGCUUUACUGUAAUGGUAAUAUUCACUAUAGCCAAUUGUUAUUUCUGUC
This is a long non-coding RNA of Pseudophryne corroboree (corroboree frog), 769 nucleotides long. RefSeq lists it as uncharacterized. Lineage: Eukaryota; Metazoa; Chordata; Amphibia; Anura; Myobatrachidae. The record is from RefSeq and is a predicted model, not a curated record. The transcript is spliced from 6 exons.